Small nucleolar RNA from Sorex araneus (European shrew), 134 nucleotides. RefSeq annotates it as U8 small nucleolar RNA. Lineage: Eukaryota; Metazoa; Chordata; Mammalia; Eulipotyphla; Soricidae. The record is from RefSeq and is a predicted model, not a curated record. The transcript has a single exon.
UCAUCAGGUAGGAUAACCUUUACCUGUUUCUCUAUUCAGAGGGCAGAUAGAACACGAUGAUGAUUGGAGUCGGCAUGAUUUGUGAUUAACAUCUCUGCGUGAUUGGGGUUCGCAACACUCUAAUUGCUCCUGAU